Molecule: ribosomal RNA, 407 nt
Filed under: uncultured bacterium
Lineage: Bacteria
Description: partial 16S ribosomal RNA
Rfam family: Bacterial small subunit ribosomal RNA
Source: RNAcentral
GACGAACGCUGGCGGCGUGCCUAAUACAUGCAAGUAGAACGCAGUUGCGAACGGGUGAGUAACGCGUAGGUAACUGCCUCAUAGCGGGGGAUAACUAUUGGAAACGAUAGCUAAUACCGCAUACUGUGAGAUGGACCUGCGUUGUAUUUGCUAGUUGGUGAGGUAAACGCUCACCAAGGCGACGAUACAUAGCCGGCCUGAGAGGGUGAACGGCCAAACUGGGACUGAGACAAGGCCCAGACUCCUUCGGGAGGCAGCAAUAGGGAAUCUUCGGCAAGUGGCGAAAGUCUGACCGAGCAACGCCGGGUGGGUGUAGAAGGUUUUCGGAUCGGAAAGCUCUGUUGUUAGAGAAGCGUUAACUACCCAGAAAGCAACGGCUAACUACGUGCCAGCAGCCGCGGUAAUUC